AGAGAUGUAGCUCAGUGGCACAGAGCCUGCCUGGCAAGCACAAGGUCCUGAGUUCAAUUCCCAGUAUCACCA
RNAcentral lists this transfer RNA (72 nucleotides) under Heterocephalus glaber (naked mole-rat). It matches the Rfam family "tRNA". Rfam says of the family: Transfer RNA (tRNA) molecules are approximately 80 nucleotides in length. Their secondary structure includes four short double-helical elements and three loops (D, anti-codon, and T loops). Further hydrogen bonds mediate the characteristic L-shaped molecular structure. tRNAs have two regions of fundamental functional importance: the anti-codon, which is responsible for specific mRNA codon recognition, and the 3' end, to which the tRNAs corresponding amino acid is attached (by aminoacyl-tRNA synthetases). tRNAs cope with the degeneracy of the genetic code in two manners: having more than one tRNA (with a specific anti-codon) for a particular amino acid; and 'wobble' base-pairing, i.e. permitting non-standard base-pairing at the 3rd anti-codon position. Lineage: Eukaryota; Metazoa; Chordata; Mammalia; Rodentia; Bathyergidae. The record is from Rfam by way of RNAcentral.